This 468-nucleotide ribosomal RNA is filed under the name uncultured bacterium. RNAcentral's name for it is "partial 16S ribosomal RNA". It matches the Rfam family "Bacterial small subunit ribosomal RNA", at positions 28 to 507 of the family's 1533-position model. The record is from RNAcentral.
GACGAACGCUGGCGGCGUGCUUAACACAUGCAAGUCGAACGGAAAGGCCCUGCUUUUGUGGGGUGCUCGAGUGGCGAACGGGUGAGUAACACGUGAGUAACCUGCCCUUGACUUUGGGAUAACUUCAGGAAACUGGGGCUGAUACCGGAUAGGAGCUCCUGCUGCAUGGUGGGGGUUGGAAAGUUUCGGCGGUUGGGGAUGGACUCGCGGCUUAUCAGCUUGUUGGUGGGGUAGUGGCUUACCAAGGCUUUGACGGGUAGCCGGCCUGAGAGGGUGACCGGCCACAUUGGGACUGAGAUACGGCCCAGACUCCUACGGGAGGCAGCAGUGGGGAAUAUUGCACAAUGGGCGGAAGCCUGAUGCAGCAACGCCGCGUGCGGGAUGACGGCCUUCGGGUUGUAAACCGCUUUCGCCUGUGACGAAGCGUGAGUGACGGUAAUGGGUCAAGAAGCACCGGCUAACUACGUG